This is a non-coding RNA of Maylandia zebra (zebra mbuna), 908 nucleotides long. The record is from RefSeq and is a predicted model, not a curated record. Lineage: Eukaryota; Metazoa; Chordata; Actinopteri; Cichliformes; Cichlidae.
AUAUCACUGACCAACAUGCUGAACAAACACCUGAAAUAACUCCUGAAACACCUCAAGUGAGAAAAUCUGAGAGAUUAAAGCGACCCCCAGGACGGUUUCAUUAUCCCCAGUUGGGUCAACCCCUUAUAUCCUUUGCACAACGAUUUCUGGAUAACUUUAACCAAGCUCUUGAGUCGUUUAGUAGCUAUGAAAACACUCAAAUCUAUGAUGUUUAGAUACAUUUUAAGUACAUGAAGGGACUCAUGUUUAUUCAAAGGGGGAGGGUGUAACCCCUAUAGACAUGGUUACUAGUAUUUUCUUGUUUUUACCUGGUAAUAUUAUUUCCGACACCCCUUGAACACACUUUGAUUUUCCGUAGUUCAGUGAAUGCAACAAAAGCACGUUGCUGCAUUAAGCUAGGCAAAACGGAGCAAGACACCGAGAGCAAAUAACAAGCUACACAAGGCCUUUAUGUGUUUUACUCUCGACCAAAACCAGGCAGAGCGUGUAUUUGUUUCUUGGGAAUUCCGACUGGUUUUUUGUGAUCCUGGAUCUGAAGUGGUUCUGGAUAUGGAUGGCGAGCCAGACCCUGUGAAAACUCUUGGCGAAUCCAAAAGCAGUGUGGCCAGCUGUUCUGGAUGCAGGAGUAGAGCUACAGUCUGAAUUACUUCGAAUCGCAGGAUUUCAGAUAAGCAAGAGCAAAAACUGCUUACUUCAUACGGAUUGCUUCUCUGGGAAACUAUUGAACUCCCAAUAUCCUGCUCAUCAGGAGUCAGGUCUAAAGAGACUACUUAUUUUAUUUUAUUUUGUUGUUAUUUUCAAAAGAGCGCUCUUCUCUGUUGAUCUUCUGUUAAUUUUCUAUGCUGUUUACAUUGGAUUAUUGCACCACUGUAACAUUGUAAUAAAUCUGCCGGCUGUUCAACACUCAA